UACGUAGGGUGCAAGCGUUGUCCGGAAUUAUUGGGCGUAAAGAGCUCGUAGGCGGUUUGUCGCGUCUGCUGUGAAAACGCGAGGCUCAACCUCGCGCCUGCAGUGGGUACGGGCAGACUAGAGUGCGGUAGGGGAGAUUGGAAUUCCUGGUGUAGCGGUGGAAUGCGCAGAUAUCAGGAGGAACACCGAUGGCGAAGGCAGAUCUCUGGGCCGAAACUGACGCUGAGGAGCGAAAGCGUGGGGAGCGAACAGG
Molecule: ribosomal RNA, 253 nt
Filed under: uncultured bacterium
Lineage: Bacteria
Description: partial 16S ribosomal RNA
Rfam family: Bacterial small subunit ribosomal RNA
Source: RNAcentral